AAACUGAGGAUAAUACCGGAUAGGCAAUUUUUCCUGUAAUGGUUUUUUGUUUAAAUGUUUUUUCGCCUAAGGAUGGGUCUGCGGCCGAUUAGGUAGUUGGUUAGGUAAUGGCUUACCAAGCCGUUGAUCGGUACGGGUUGUGAGAGCAAGAGCCCGGAGAUGGAACCUGAGACAAGGUUCCAGGCCCUACGGGGUGCAGCAGGCACGAAACCUCCGCAAUGUGAGAAAUCGCGACGGGGGGAUCCCAAGUGCUAUUCUUAACGGGAUGGCUUUUCAUUAGUGUAAAGAGCUUUUGGAAUAAGAGCUGGGCAAGACCGGUGCCAGCCGCCGCGGUAACACCGGCAGCUCUAGUGGUAGCAGUUUUUAUUGGGCCUAAGCGUCCGUAGCCGGUUUAAUAAGUCUCUGGUGAAAUCCUGUAGCUUAACUGUGGGAAUUGCUGGAGAUACUAUUAGGCUUGAGAUCGGGAGAGGUUAGAGGUACUCCCAGGGUAGAGGUGAAAUUCUGUAAUCCUGCGAGGACCGCCUGUUGCGAAGGCGUCUAACUGGAACGAUUCUGAC
Molecule: ribosomal RNA, 557 nt
Filed under: uncultured rumen archaeon
Lineage: Archaea
Description: bacterial SSU rRNA
Rfam family: Archaeal small subunit ribosomal RNA
Source: RNAcentral